UGGCGGCGUGCCUAAUACAUGCAAGUCGAACGGUCUUUCUAUGGAAGCUUGCUUCCACUGAGAAGAUAGUGGCGAACGGGUGAGUAACACGUGGGUAACCUGCCCAUAAGAGGGGGAGUAACAUCCGGAAACGGGUGCUAAUACCGCAUAGUUUUCUUGAUCGCAUGAUCGGGAAAGGAAAGACGGCCUUUGUGCUGUCGCUUAUGGAUGGACCCGCGGCGUAUUAGUUAGUUGGUGAGGUAACGGCUCACCAAGACGAUGAUACGUAGCCGACCUGAGAGGGUGAUCGGCCACAUUGGGACUGAGACACGGCCCAAACUCCUACGGGAGGCAGCAGUAGGGAAUCUUCCGCAAUGGACGAAAGUCUGACGGGAGCAACGCCGCGUGAGUGAAAAGUAAGGUUUUCGGAUCGUAAAACUCUGUUGUCAGAGAAGAACAAGUUGGAGAGUAACUGCUCCAGCCUUGACGGUAUCUGACCAGAAAGCCACGGCUAACUACGUGCCAGCCGCCGC
Molecule: ribosomal RNA, 512 nt
Filed under: uncultured bacterium
Lineage: Bacteria
Description: bacterial SSU rRNA
Rfam family: Bacterial small subunit ribosomal RNA
Source: RNAcentral